Molecule: long non-coding RNA, 1358 nt
Organism: Helianthus annuus (common sunflower)
Lineage: Eukaryota; Viridiplantae; Streptophyta; Magnoliopsida; Asterales; Asteraceae
Exons: 4
Source: RefSeq, a predicted model, not a curated record
UUUAUAUUUUUCCUUCACAAAUUCCCCCAACUUUUAUAUCUUCUAUUUACAUUUUCCCUCCCUUAUGUUUCAUAUUCACCUCAAAAUUUUCAUUUUCCCUCUAUUCCCGCUUGUUUAUUUCCCUCCCUCACGAAUUUCUCACCCUCACAAACCCUAAUCGAACCCCAAGUCUCUCUGUCGCAUCCCUCUCGUUCCUUUUGACACCACCGAUACCUUCCAGUGCACCAUCCCAUCCCUGCCCUGCAUUGCACCGUCGUUGCCGUCUAGUGAACCGUGUCUCUCCUGUUCGUUACAGCCUUUGUGUGCAAUUUUCCACUAAUUUCAUAUGAAUAUGUUGUGUCUAAAUCUCUGUUUUUUAUUCGCUCGUUAUGAUGUUUAGAAUAUGUGCAUACCAAGUGUUUGAUGAAAUGUUUGUGUUAGUUUUCCCCUUUAAUUUUAUUCACAUUUGUCUAAGUGCCUUGGUUGCAGUUAUUCUUGGUUGUGUGUAGGUUCAGUUGGACAUGGUGAAGAUUUGUCCUACUUACAAAGGAUAAAAUACAUGUUGGAACCGUUGAAUGCACUUCAGGUGCACUUUCCAGCAUUAAUAAUCGAACUCAGGCAAUUCUAGCUAGUUUUGAAGCGCUUGAGAAUGACAAUCCUGGAUCCAAAGUGACUACUAAUAUGAAACCGAAAGCUGAAAGUUAUGGCUUACCCCUUUGAAAUUCUCUUUUUGUUUUAUUCUGUCUAAGUUUAUAUUUUCAACUCAUACAUGUUUUUCUUAUACCAAAGAUGCGUUGUGCAAGAUUUAAAAGAAUGGAAUUGAACCUCGAGGUGUUUUCCUUUUGCCUCGUGAGGCGUAGGACUCGAGGCGAACUAAGGCAUAAGCCCAGGAGGCACACCUCAUACACGAUUUCUUACCAUCUCGUUUCAAGGCGCAUGUCUCAACGGUUUUUUUAAACCAUGGCGUUGUGAUGUCUUCUUGCAAUCAGAGUGCUCAUAUAUGGUGAUGUUUUCUUGCUGUUUCUGUUUCUUAUGGUCUUAUCCUAAUAUAUGCAGUUUUUCAUAAGAAGCAUUCCAAAGGUACCAAACUUAAAACUCGCUUGGCCAAAGCACCUGAGAUCACAAAGAAAGCGCCAUGAACGUUCCCCGAGCUCUUGCAUGAGACGGUUUCUACGGAUUGGGAUGCAAGGAUUGAAGAAGUCAAUUCGGGUUGUAAGGCGUACGAAGUUGCCUAUUUGAUAUUUUUGGAUUUCGAACUUUUUUGAGCUUCAUUUGGAAAACAUGUACAUUUCUCAAAGUGUAUACGUUUUGUGUUUCUUACGAGAACCAUGUAGUUUUUGGAAACGUGUUUAAUAUGUUAGAAAUUUUUGUUUGUUAUU